This 125-nucleotide small RNA is filed under the name Marmota monax (woodchuck). The record is from RNAcentral. Lineage: Eukaryota; Metazoa; Chordata; Mammalia; Rodentia; Sciuridae.
GCCGGGCACAGUGGUGCACACCUGUAAUCCCAGUGACUUGGGAGGCUGAGGCCGGGGGAUCAUGACUUCAAAGCCAGCCUCAGCAACAGCGAGGCACUGAGCACCUCAGUGAGACCCUGUCUCUA